UGGGGAUGCUUCCAUGCCAACAGAAGACCCCAGCCUUGUCAGGGCCUGUGGUGAGGCGUAAGAAAAAUGUGGGUGCCGAAUCCAAACUGACAGGAGUCUCCAGCCUCUUUAGGAUCAGCACUUUGGCUUCAGGACAUAUGGGGCUGCGUCUAUGCUGACAGGAGCCCACAGCCCCCUCAGGACCCGCAGUGAGUUUUCUGGGGGCCAUGGGGCCAUGUCCAGGCUGACAGGAGCCCUCGGCCUCCUGAGGACCUGCUGUGAGGCUUCCAGAGGAUGUGAGGCAUAGUCCACAGUGACAGGAGACCCGGCGUCCUCAGGACCCGUUGACUAUCACUCAGGAACACGUGGGGUCACAUCCACACUCACAGGAUCCUGGCUUCCUCAGGACCCCCUGGAGGACUCUGGAGGUGCCGUUGGGGACCACGUCCACAUCAGAAGGGACUACUCAGAACCACAGGACUGUUGUGCCCAAGAUUGCGAAUCCGAAAAACCAUGGAGAAGCCCACACUGAAGCAAACACAUGAGGGUUUAUUUACAAGCUCGAGCUUGUGUCCAAGUAUACCUGACAGUGCGGAGCAGGGACUUCGACCCCGAGGACCCCCUGGAGGACUCUGGAGGCGCUGUUGGGGGUCACGUCCACAUCAGAAGGGACUACUCAGAACCACAGGACUGUUUUGCCCAAGAUUGCGAAUCCGAGAAACCACCGAGAAG
This is a long non-coding RNA of Canis lupus familiaris (dog), 711 nucleotides long. RefSeq lists it as uncharacterized. The transcript has 4 exons. The record is from RefSeq and is a predicted model, not a curated record. Lineage: Eukaryota; Metazoa; Chordata; Mammalia; Carnivora; Canidae.